GAACCCUCUACAGUGGCCCCAUUUCAGGAUCAGGGGAUUCAGCUUUCCAGCUGUACAGGGACAGGUGACAGCCUGGAUGUGGCCCAUGGGCCAGGUAGCGGGGCCCUGUUUGGAGCCGCUGUUGGGUGACCUGAGGCUGACAGACACAGGCCGGCCCGCUCCUCCUGCCCAGCGCCCCUGUCCCCAGGUGGGGACGGGCCUUGUCCCUCGCUCGCCGCUGCGAUGCCAAGUGCACGACUGUCCGGCCCGAGGAGAGCCGAGCACGCCCAGGUAAAGGGGUUCUGGGCUCCGGCCGACAGCGGGGUGCUGCGGGGGCCGAGGCUUGCCCGCAGGUGCGCCGACCCAGGGCUGCGAGCCGGGGAGGCUGUCACCUUCUUCAGACUCUCCAGUGGGUCCCUGGCCUCCGGGAGCCGAGAGCCGCCAUGCCCUGGGCUCCAAGUGCUCACACCUGCCCGGAGGCAGACCACGUCACCGGGCUGGACCCGCCUGUGACGAGUGUUCCCCUGCCCGCCGGAGCCCCCCAGCCUCGGGCAGCAGCCCCAGGCAGCCUCGGGCCACCCUUCCCUUUGGAGAAGCGCGAGCGCUCAGGGCUGGGCCUCUGCCCAGAGACCUGCCACCUGGUGCCCCACUGACCGGGCGGCAGGGACGCAGACGGUUUUGUCCCCUCUGUUUGGGAAGUGUUCCUCCGACAUAGGAGUACCAGUUCCAACACGUUCGCCGGCUGUGGAAGGGUGUUGGCC
Long non-coding RNA from Canis lupus familiaris (dog), 740 nucleotides. RefSeq lists it as uncharacterized. The transcript has 3 exons. Lineage: Eukaryota; Metazoa; Chordata; Mammalia; Carnivora; Canidae. The record is from RefSeq and is a predicted model, not a curated record.